This 252-nucleotide ribosomal RNA is filed under the name Haemaphysalis concinna. RNAcentral's name for it is "partial 16S ribosomal RNA". Lineage: Eukaryota; Metazoa; Arthropoda; Arachnida; Ixodida; Ixodidae. The record is from RNAcentral.
GUGCUAAAGAUGGACUUUCAAAAAUUACUAUCUUGAAUUUAAAAAUCGAAUUUAUUUUUAUUUGUGAAGAAACAAUAAUUUAGAUUAAGGACAAGAAGACCCUAAGAAUUUUUAAAUUUUAUAUAAGAUCUAGAUCUUAUAUAAAAUUUUUAAUUGGGGCGAUUAUAAAAUAUUAUUAACUUUAAAUUCAGGAAAAUGAUCCAUAAUUAAUGAUUAGAUGUAAAAAAUACUCUAGGGAUAACAGCGUAAUAA